AGAGUUUGAUCCUGGCUCAGAUUGAACGCUGGCGGCAUGCCUUACACAUGCAAGUCGAGCGGCAGCGCGGGGGCAACCCUGGCGGCGAGCGGCGAACGGGUGAGUAAUACAUCGGAACGUGUCCAGUAGUGGGGGAUAACCAGUCGAAAGAUUGGCUAAUACCGCAUACGAUCUACGGAUGAAAGCGGGGGACCGCAAGGCCUCGCGCUGUUGGAGCGGCCGAUGUCGGAUUAGCUAGUUGGCGGGGUAAAAGCCCACCAAGGCGACGAUCCGUAGCUGGUCUGAGAGGACGACCAGCCACACUGGAACUGAGACACGGUCCAGACUCCUACGGGAGGCAGCAGUGGGGAAUUUUGGACAAUGGGGGCAACCCUGAUCCAGCCAUGCCGCGUGAGUGAAGAAGGCCUUCGGGUUGUAAAGCUCUUUCGGCGGGGACGAAACGGUCCGUGACAACACCACGGACUAAUGACGGUACUCGCAGAAGAAGCACCGGCUAACUACGUGCCAGCAGCCGCGGUAAUACGUAGGGUGCAGGCGUUAAUCGGAAUUACUGGGCGUAAAGCGUGCGCAGGCGGCUCCUUAAGUCAGAUGUGAAAUCCCCGGGCUUAACCUGGGAACUGCGUUUGAAACUGGGGAGCUAGAGUGUGGAAGAGGGGGGUGGAAUUCCAGGUGUAGCAGUGAAAUGCGUAGAUAUCUGGAGGAACACCGAUGGCGAAGGCAGCCCCCUGGGCUAACACUGACGCUCAUGCACGAAAGCGUGGGGAGCAAACAGGAUUAGAUACCCUGGGUAGUCCACGCCC
RNAcentral lists this ribosomal RNA (800 nucleotides) under uncultured bacterium. Its description in RNAcentral is "bacterial SSU rRNA". It matches the Rfam family "Bacterial small subunit ribosomal RNA", at positions 8 to 802 of the family's 1533-position model. The record is from RNAcentral.